AUAGUAUCUGAGUUGCAGUGAUAGUGGUCUCCUAAGGUUCUGUGGUGAUUCCUUUAAGGUUUAGUGAGUAGUUUGUAAAAUAGUAUGAUUUACGAGAUGGAAUUAAUUAAUCAAAGCAUAGAUUUAAUGGUUAAAAGCUAGAUAGCACCAAGUACUUGAUACUAUUAAUAAUAUCUCAAACGGACUCAAAACAAUCAUCCCUCAA
RNAcentral lists this long non-coding RNA (205 nucleotides) under Ananas comosus (pineapple). RNAcentral's name for it is "long non-coding RNA (ACOM_LNC011863)". Lineage: Eukaryota; Viridiplantae; Streptophyta; Magnoliopsida; Poales; Bromeliaceae. The record is from RNAcentral.